AUUCUAAUAGCUUAACCUACAAAGCAUUGGUCUUGUAAACCAAAGACUGAAGACUACAAUCUUCUUAGAAUA
Molecule: transfer RNA, 72 nt
Filed under: Emys orbicularis (European pond turtle)
Lineage: Eukaryota; Metazoa; Chordata; Testudines; Emydidae
Description: tRNA-Thr
Rfam family: tRNA
About the family: Transfer RNA (tRNA) molecules are approximately 80 nucleotides in length. Their secondary structure includes four short double-helical elements and three loops (D, anti-codon, and T loops). Further hydrogen bonds mediate the characteristic L-shaped molecular structure. tRNAs have two regions of fundamental functional importance: the anti-codon, which is responsible for specific mRNA codon recognition, and the 3' end, to which the tRNAs corresponding amino acid is attached (by aminoacyl-tRNA synthetases). tRNAs cope with the degeneracy of the genetic code in two manners: having more than one tRNA (with a specific anti-codon) for a particular amino acid; and 'wobble' base-pairing, i.e. permitting non-standard base-pairing at the 3rd anti-codon position.
Source: RNAcentral